RNAcentral lists this unclassified non-coding RNA (336 nucleotides) under Archidendron lovelliae. RNAcentral describes it as "partial miscellaneous RNA". The record is from RNAcentral. Lineage: Eukaryota; Viridiplantae; Streptophyta; Magnoliopsida; Fabales; Fabaceae.
UAAAUGGAUAAAAUCUUGGUCUUAAUGUAUACGAGUUUUUGAACGUAAAGGAGCAAUAAUUAAUUUAUUGUUCUAUCAAGAGGGUUAAUAUUGCUCCUUUACUUUUUAGUAGUUUCAUACAUCAAUUUUGUAUUUACUUCAACAUUCUUUACCAUUGUUUUAAGAUAAGAAAAAAAUAUUGGAGUUUCAUACUUUUUGUUUCUUUUUUACUAAUUUAUUUUAUACGUUUUUCUCAGCAAUCUUUCUUUAUCUUUUGAAAUGCAAAAUAAAAAAAAUGAGAAAUGAAUGUUUUAAUUCUAGUCUAUUGUAUCUUAGAAGACGAGUAAAAACUUCAAA